ACAUCAGUAGUUUACUGGUAAAAUUCAUCAUUGCCAUCGAUGAGAUCCGCGUUCGAUUCGCGGCUGAUGCA
Non-coding RNA from Hypoxylon sp. FL1150, 71 nucleotides. NCBI's taxonomy places the organism in Eukaryota, Fungi, Ascomycota, Sordariomycetes, Xylariales, Hypoxylaceae. The record is from the annotation of a GenBank genome assembly.